GGGCUCGUAGCUCAACGGCAGAGCAGCGGACUCAUAAUCCGUGGGUUGGAGGUUCGAAUCCUCCCGGGCCCA
Molecule: transfer RNA, 72 nt
Filed under: Planctomycetota bacterium
Lineage: Bacteria; Pseudomonadati; Planctomycetota
Description: Planctomycetes bacterium tRNA-Met
Rfam family: tRNA
About the family: Transfer RNA (tRNA) molecules are approximately 80 nucleotides in length.
Source: RNAcentral